CCCGCCACUUGGCAUGUAUUCUUCAGUAUUAGUCGUCAGGCAACAGUGAGAGAGAAUAGUCAAAUAUGGUCUUUCCCUUGGGCAUUAUUUUCUGCAGUAAUGUGCCAUACGCAGUGUGAUGGCAGAUAGAAUACCUGAUGAUGACAGAGGGGAUAAUGCCAAGAUUUUGCUGGAGGUGAAGGAAAGUAUGUGGCAACUUAGGUUAGAUGCUUCAAAACUUCCAGGUAUUAA
Protopterus annectens (West African lungfish) is the source of this 231-nucleotide long non-coding RNA. RefSeq lists it as uncharacterized. The transcript has 2 exons. The record is from RefSeq and is a predicted model, not a curated record. NCBI's taxonomy places the organism in Eukaryota, Metazoa, Chordata, Ceratodontiformes, Protopteridae.